This 1552-nucleotide ribosomal RNA is filed under the name Salmonella enterica. RNAcentral describes it as "bacterial SSU rRNA". It matches the Rfam family "Bacterial small subunit ribosomal RNA". Lineage: Bacteria; Pseudomonadati; Pseudomonadota; Gammaproteobacteria; Enterobacterales; Enterobacteriaceae. The record is from RNAcentral. RNAcentral also lists the same sequence under 4 other names.
AAAUUGAAGAGUUUGAUCAUGGCUCAGAUUGAACGCUGGCGGCAGGCCUAACACAUGCAAGUCGAACGGUAACAGGAAGCAGCUUGCUGCUUUGCUGACGAGUGGCGGACGGGUGAGUAAUGUCUGGGAAACUGCCUGAUGGAGGGGGAUAACUACUGGAAACGGUGGCUAAUACCGCAUAACGUCGCAAGACCAAAGAGGGGGACCUUCGGGCCUCUUGCCAUCAGAUGUGCCCAGAUGGGAUUAGCUAGUUGGUGAGGUAACGGCUCACCAAGGCGACGAUCCCUAGCUGGUCUGAGAGGAUGACCAGCCACACUGGAACUGAGACACGGUCCAGACUCCUACGGGAGGCAGCAGUGGGGAAUAUUGCACAAUGGGCGCAAGCCUGAUGCAGCCAUGCCGCGUGUAUGAAGAAGGCCUUCGGGUUGUAAAGUACUUUCAGCGGGGAGGAAGGUGUUGUGGUUAAUAACCGCAGCAAUUGACGUUACCCGCAGAAGAAGCACCGGCUAACUCCGUGCCAGCAGCCGCGGUAAUACGGAGGGUGCAAGCGUUAAUCGGAAUUACUGGGCGUAAAGCGCACGCAGGCGGUCUGUCAAGUCGGAUGUGAAAUCCCCGGGCUCAACCUGGGAACUGCAUUCGAAACUGGCAGGCUUGAGUCUUGUAGAGGGGGGUAGAAUUCCAGGUGUAGCGGUGAAAUGCGUAGAGAUCUGGAGGAAUACCGGUGGCGAAGGCGGCCCCCUGGACAAAGACUGACGCUCAGGUGCGAAAGCGUGGGGAGCAAACAGGAUUAGAUACCCUGGUAGUCCACGCCGUAAACGAUGUCUACUUGGAGGUUGUGCCCUUGAGGCGUGGCUUCCGGAGCUAACGCGUUAAGUAGACCGCCUGGGGAGUACGGCCGCAAGGUUAAAACUCAAAUGAAUUGACGGGGGCCCGCACAAGCGGUGGAGCAUGUGGUUUAAUUCGAUGCAACGCGAAGAACCUUACCUGGUCUUGACAUCCACAGAACUUUCCAGAGAUGGAUUGGUGCCUUCGGGAACUGUGAGACAGGUGCUGCAUGGCUGUCGUCAGCUCGUGUUGUGAAAUGUUGGGUUAAGUCCCGCAACGAGCGCAACCCUUAUCCUUUGUUGCCAGCGAUUAGGUCGGGAACUCAAAGGAGACUGCCAGUGAUAAACUGGAGGAAGGUGGGGAUGACGUCAAGUCAUCAUGGCCCUUACGACCAGGGCUACACACGUGCUACAAUGGCGCAUACAAAGAGAAGCGACCUCGCGAGAGCAAGCGGACCUCAUAAAGUGCGUCGUAGUCCGGAUUGGAGUCUGCAACUCGACUCCAUGAAGUCGGAAUCGCUAGUAAUCGUGGAUCAGAAUGCCACGGUGAAUACGUUCCCGGGCCUUGUACACACCGCCCGUCACACCAUGGGAGUGGGUUGCAAAAGAAGUAGGUAGCUUAACCUUCGGGAGGGCGCUUACCACUUUGUGAUUCAUGACUGGGGUGAAGUCGUAACAAGGUAACCGUAGGGGAACCUGCGGUUGGAUCACCUCCUUACCUUAAAGAA